GACAGAGGAGCCAAGCGUUGUCCGGAUUUACUGGGCGUAAAGCGCACGCAGGCGGAUGCGCGCGUGGGGUGUGAAAUCUGGCCGCUUAACGGCCAGGCGCCAUCCCAUACGGCGCGUCUGGAGUGAUGCAGAGGUCGAUGGAAUUGCCGGUGUAGUGGUGAAAUGCGUAGAUAUCGGAAGGAACAUCAGUGGCGAAAGCGACUUCCUGGACCAGUACCGACGUUCAGGCACGAAAGCGUGGGGAGCAAACAGG
This 253-nucleotide ribosomal RNA is filed under the name uncultured bacterium. RNAcentral describes it as "partial 16S ribosomal RNA". It matches the Rfam family "Bacterial small subunit ribosomal RNA", at positions 524 to 776 of the family's 1533-position model. The record is from RNAcentral.